AGUAAGAACAUAAAGGUGCAAGAGCUCUCGCUGUCCGUGACUCGAAUGUCUCCAAAUGGUGUUUGCGUGCAAGAAGUGGGAGAUGGGUUGAGAUCAUAAAAUAUAUCUUUUAAUUGAGAACUCAAUCUACUAAACCUCACACUUGGUCUCCUUGGGAAUCUUAUUUUGACUCAUCCCCAGACCACUAGUCAGGCACAAGUCAAAAUGAUCCUCUCCCUUUCGAUUUUGAGCACUCAUGCAAUGGAUGAGCGUAAGCAAGAUAUGUUAGCACUUAGGAUGGCAAAGAUAAUAACGAUGGGGAAGGAAGACAAAAAGGGUGUGAAAGGCUCACAUCAAUGAGGACAACCAUAGGCGAGAGAAAGCCAAAUGAUAGAUAUGAUGUGAGCAGUAGGGAUUGACAUGUAACGGAUGCACAUAUGAGCUAUGGUAAGAUCUCCUAUAGAAUUAGUGGGGGUGCAUCCAACUUGUUUGCUCAUGAAGACCUAGAGCUCAUUUGAGGAGGCUCAUCAUUGGAAUAUGCAAACCAAGUUCUAUAGUGUAAGGGUCCCCACAUAGUUAUGCAUGAAUGAUAAUCUCUAUGUAGUACAAAUAUAGCAAUGGGGUACGAGUGUGGAUCUUUCAAAAGGAAUAGUAGUGUUGCCCCCUUCUCUCGUUUUAUUUCUUUUUCUUUUUCCUUUAUUUUUUAUUUUUUGUGGACUCUUUGGCUCUUUCUUUUUAUCUCUCAUUUGUCCUCUUUGGGAUCUUUUAAUUUGUCCUCUUUGUGAUCUUUUCCUCUCUUAAGGGCAACACUCUAUGUUUUACAUGAAUGAAAAUAAAAAUCAUCACAC
Molecule: long non-coding RNA, 827 nt
Filed under: Hordeum vulgare
Lineage: Eukaryota; Viridiplantae; Streptophyta; Magnoliopsida; Poales; Poaceae
Description: long non-coding RNA (HVUL_LNC019435)
Source: RNAcentral